RNAcentral lists this ribosomal RNA (392 nucleotides) under uncultured Gammaproteobacteria bacterium. RNAcentral's name for it is "bacterial SSU rRNA". It matches the Rfam family "Bacterial small subunit ribosomal RNA", at positions 370 to 779 of the family's 1533-position model. Lineage: Bacteria; Pseudomonadati; Pseudomonadota; Gammaproteobacteria. The record is from RNAcentral.
AAUGGGGGCAACCCUGAUCUAGCCAUGCCGCGUGAGUGAUGAAGGCCUUAGGGUCGUAAAGCUCUUUCGCCUGUGAUGAUAAUGACAGUAGCAGGUAAAGAAACCCCGGCUAACUCCGUGCCAGCAGCCGCGGUAAUACGGAGGGGGUUAGCGUUGUUCGGAAUUACUGGGCGUAAAGCGCGCGUAGGCGGAUUAGAAAGUUGGGGGUGAAAUCCCGGGGCUCAACCCCGGAACUGCCUCCAAAACUACUAGUCUAGAGUUCGAGAGAGGUGAGUGGAAUUCCGAGUGUAGAGGUGAAAUUCGUAGAUAUUCGGAGGAACACCAGUGGCGAAGGCGGCUCACUGGCUCGAUACUGACGCUGAGGUGCGAAAGUGUGGGGAGCAAACAGGAUU